This 538-nucleotide ribosomal RNA is filed under the name Debaryomyces maramus. Its description in RNAcentral is "eukaryotic LSU rRNA". It matches the Rfam family "Eukaryotic large subunit ribosomal RNA", at positions 61 to 604 of the family's 3401-position model. The record is from RNAcentral. Lineage: Eukaryota; Fungi; Ascomycota; Pichiomycetes; Serinales; Debaryomycetaceae.
GAAACCAACAGGGAUUGCCUUAGUAACGGCGAGUGAAGCGGCAAAAGCUCAAAUUUGAAAUCUGGCACCUUCGGUGUCCGAGUUGUAAUUUGAAGAAGGUAACUUUGGAGUUGGCUCUUGUCUAUGUUCCUUGGAACAGGACGUCACAGAGGGUGAGAAUCCCGUGCGAUGAGAUGCCCAAUUCUAUGUAAAGUGCUUUCGAAGAGUCGAGUUGUUUGGGAAUGCAGCUCUAAGUGGGUGGUAAAUUCCAUCUAAAGCUAAAUAUUGGCGAGAGACCGAUAGCGAACAAGUACAGUGAUGGAAAGAUGAAAAGAACUUUGAAAAGAGAGUGAAAAAGUACGUGAAAUUGUUGAAAGGGAAGGGCUUGAGAUCAGACUUGGUAUUUUGCGAUCCUUUCCUUUUUGGUUGGGUUCUCCGCAGCUUACUGGGCCAGCAUCGGUUUGGACGGUAGGAUAAUGAUUAAGGAAUGUGGCUCUGCUUCGGUGGAGUGUUAUAGCCUUGGUUGAUGCUGCCUGUCUAGACCGAGGACUGCGUCUUU